Molecule: ribosomal RNA, 301 nt
Filed under: uncultured bacterium
Lineage: Bacteria
Description: partial 16S ribosomal RNA
Rfam family: Bacterial small subunit ribosomal RNA
Source: RNAcentral
CAGUCGCCGCGGUAAUACGGAGGGAGCUAGCGUUGUUCGGAAUUACUGGGCGUAAAGCGCGCGUAGGCGGUUACUCAAGUCAGAGGUGAAAGCCCGGGGCUCAACCCCGGAACUGCCUUUGAAACUAGGUGACUAGAAUCUUGAGAGGUCAGUGGAAUUCCGAGUGUAGAGGUGAAAUUCGUAGAUAUUCGGAAGAACACCAGUGGCGAAGGCGACUGACUGGACAAGUAUUGACGCUGAGGUGCGAAAGCGUGGGGAGCAAACAGGAUUAGAUACCCCAGUAGUCCCUGUCUCUUAUACA